RNAcentral lists this ribosomal RNA (483 nucleotides) under uncultured bacterium. RNAcentral describes it as "partial 16S ribosomal RNA". It matches the Rfam family "Bacterial small subunit ribosomal RNA", at positions 30 to 507 of the family's 1533-position model. The record is from RNAcentral.
AUUGAACGCUGGCGGCAGGCCUAACACAUGCAAGUCGAGCGGAUGAGGGAGCUUGCUCCUGGAUUCAGCGGCGGACGGGUGAGUAAUGCCUAGGAAUCUGCCUGGUAGUGGGGGAUAACGUCCGGAAACGGGCGCUAAUAACGCAUAGGUCCUGAGGGAGAAAGGGGGGGAUCUUCGGACCUCACGCUAUCAGAUGAGCCUAGGUCGGAUUAGCUAGUUGGUGGGGUAAAGGCCUACCAAGGCGACGAUCCGUAACUGGUCUGAGAGGAUGAUCAGUCACACUGGAACUGAGACACGGUCCAGACUCCUACGGGAGGCAGCAGUGGGGAAUAUUGGACAAUGGGCGAAAGCCUGAUCCAGCCAUGCCGCGUGUGUGAAGAAGGUCUUCGGAUUGUAAAGCACUUUAAGUUGGGAGGAAGGGCAGUAAGUUAAUACCUUGCUGUCUUGACGUUACCAACAGAAUAAGCACCGGCUAACUUCGUG